RNAcentral lists this ribosomal RNA (484 nucleotides) under uncultured bacterium. RNAcentral describes it as "partial 16S ribosomal RNA". It matches the Rfam family "Bacterial small subunit ribosomal RNA", at positions 28 to 507 of the family's 1533-position model. The record is from RNAcentral.
GAUUAACGCUAGCGGCAGGCAUAAUACAUGCAAGUUGAACGGCAGCACAGGUAGCACUACUGGGUGGCGAGUGGCGCACGGGUGCGUAACACGUAUGCAACCUACCCUAUACAGGCGAAUAACCUUUAGAAAUGAGGGCUAAUACGCCGUAGUAUUACAGAUGGGCAUCUAUUUGUAAUUAAAGAUUUAUCGGUAUAGGAUGGGCAUGCGUCCCAUUAGUUAGUUGGUAAGGUAACGGCUUACCAAGACGAUGAUGGGUAGGGGAUCUGAGAGGACUUACCCCCACACUGGUACUGAGACACGGACCAGACUACUACGGGAGGCAGCAGUAAGGAAUAUUGGGCAAUGGCCGCGAGGCUGACCCAGCCAUGCCGCGUGCAGGAAGACGGCCUUAUGGGUUGUAAACUGCUUUUAUACGGGAAUAAUAGAGUGUACGCGUACAUUUAUGAAAGUAUCGUAUGAAUAAGCAUCGGCUAACUCCGUG